CCUACGGGAGGCAGCAGUGGGGAAUAUUGGGCAAUGGGCGCAAGCCUGACCCAGCAACGCCGCGUGAAGGAUGAAGGCCUUCGGGUUGUAAACUUCUUUUAAGAGGGAAGAGCAGAAGACGGUACCUCUUGAAUAAGCCACGGCUAACUAAGUGCCAGCAGCCGCGGGAAUACGUAGGUGGCAAGCGUUGUCCGGAUUUACUGGGUGUAAAGGGCGUGCAGCCGGGAAGACAAGUCAGAGGGGAAAUCCCGCGGCUCAACCGCGGAACUGCAGUUGAAACUGUUUUUCUUGAGUACCGGAGAGGUCAGCGGAAUGCGUGGUGUAGCGGUGAAAUGCGUAGAUAUAAGGAAGAACACCAGUGGCGAAGGCAGAAGACUGGACGGCAACUGACGGUGAGGCGCGAAAGCGUGGGGAGCGAACAGGAUUAGAUACCCUAGUAGUC
Molecule: ribosomal RNA, 442 nt
Filed under: uncultured bacterium
Lineage: Bacteria
Description: partial 16S ribosomal RNA
Rfam family: Bacterial small subunit ribosomal RNA
Source: RNAcentral